UGGGGAAUAUUGGACAAUGGGCGCAAGCCUGAUCCAGCCACGCCGCGUGAGUGAUGAAGGCCUUCGGGUCGUAAAGCUCUGUGGGGAGGGACGAACCGCUGGUGGUGCAUAUCCAUCAGCAUGACGGUACCUCCUUAGCAAGCACCGGCUAACUUCGUGCCAGCAGCCGCGGUAAUACGAAGGGUGCAAACGUUGCUCGGAAUUAUUGGGCGUAAAGCGCACGUAGGCGGCUUUGUAAGUCGGAUGUGAAAUCCCUCGGCUUAACCAAGGAAGUGCAUCCGAAACUACAGAGCUUGAGUACUUAAGAGGAUCGCGGAAUUCCCGGUGUAGAGGUGAAAUUCGUAGAUAUCGGGAGGAACACCAGUGGCGAAGGCGGCGAUCUGGGAAGAUACUGACGCUGAGGUGCGAAAGCGUGGGGAGCAAACA
This 426-nucleotide ribosomal RNA is filed under the name uncultured Haliangium sp. RNAcentral's name for it is "bacterial SSU rRNA". It matches the Rfam family "Bacterial small subunit ribosomal RNA", at positions 355 to 774 of the family's 1533-position model. The record is from RNAcentral. Lineage: Bacteria; Pseudomonadati; Myxococcota; Haliangiales; Kofleriaceae.